Molecule: long non-coding RNA, 295 nt
Organism: Pan troglodytes (chimpanzee)
Lineage: Eukaryota; Metazoa; Chordata; Mammalia; Primates; Hominidae
Exons: 2
Source: RefSeq, a predicted model, not a curated record
AAUACUUGUUGAUUGGUUUCACACUAACCCUGCUCGUGGCCAAGUAGAGCCCUAACAGUGCAGGGCUGGGUAUAAGUCUAUGCAUUGGUUUGUCUUCAAUGGGCAAAGCUGUCUGAAGAGAAGCAUGUCCUUAAGUCCUGAGAGUAAAAUCAAGACCUAACUAUCUGUGAGACCUCACUGACGAUUUGCUACCAGAUAAAUGAGCAAUUUCACAGAUUCUUGCGGGAAAACUCAAAAGGACUAAUGAUUAACCACUUCCUUGAAAUCAAUAAAACACAUUAUUUCUUGUCUCGUU